This is a long non-coding RNA of Cygnus olor (mute swan), 1036 nucleotides long. RefSeq lists it as uncharacterized. NCBI's taxonomy places the organism in Eukaryota, Metazoa, Chordata, Aves, Anseriformes, Anatidae. The transcript has 2 exons. The record is from RefSeq and is a predicted model, not a curated record.
CUCAGGGCAGCAAACACAGCUGCACAAAAAUCUGCCCACCCCAAAAUGGCGGCCGAGCUGAAGCGAAAGGACACGUCACCUGCGCGCAGCCCCCGCCCUUACGCACAAAAUGGCUUCCAGCUCCCCGGGGUGCGGAAGAAAUUUAUUUCUCAGGGAAGCGAAGAGAGUUGCGCAAAAACACCUCCCCCCAUACACCCCCCAAAAAUGGCGGCCGAGCUGAAGAGAAAGGAGACGUCACCUGCGCGCAGUCCCCGCCCUUACGCACAAAAUGGCUUCCAGCUCGCUGAGGCGGGGGGGGUGGCGGAAACACUGUGAGGAAAAGGGGCUGAGGGGUAAUCUUGUAGUUUGUACGCGCAUCGACCGCAGACGACUUAAGUAGAUUUUCAGAUGAGUAAGGUUUACCUCUAUAUUUUUCCGUCUGUGAGGCUGGCAGGAAAUAGUCUAUUGCCAGGAAAGGUUAGUAUUAUACAUGUGAAAUAAUGAUCUUCAUAGGAGUAGAAUGUGUAUAAUUAUUAAGAGAUUUGUAUAUUCUACAACAUUGGCAAAAUAUGUUCAUCCUAAAUUAAGGCAACAGCCUAGGGCAGUGACUAAAAUGCUGUCUGCCUAUUAAAUCACUGAAUGAUACUAUCUUAAUUCAUAAAUAUAUGAAAAUUACAUAGACUAAUUCAGUGUAACAGUGAACAUGCUCAAUAUAUCUAUGUAAAAUGUUGGUAAUGUGGGAAUGUUCUUUUUGCACAGAGUUACAUUGUUUAAAGGUAAGGAAUGUGGUAUGGAGAUAUGCUUGCAGUGAUAAGAAAACUUAGCAGACGACCUUGUAAAAAAGACAACCAGACUCCUUAGAGCAAUUAGGUGAAAAUCACGGUGUCAAGUCAGAUAAGUGAAGAAACAUUACCAUUUCAAACAGUAAAAAAGUAGAAAGAAAUUUGAAAAUUAACAGGCCAGCAACUGAAGGCCGUGUAUUGUCUCUGAAGCAUCAGAUAGGUUGUGAACCUGGAUUACCCAGUCUAUGGGGAAACAGGGGAGGGUCCCAGUCAUC